UGGUGAGAAAGAAGUUAUUAUGAUAGUUUAAAAUGUGGGAGAAUCUCUGAUAAACGUGGACAUGGAAACCUGUUGAUGGCAGGUGGAGUCAUCUUUUUGUAAACUGUAUAAUUUCAAGUACCCUGGUUCAUGAUUUUCUCCGCCAGUCUCAUUAGUGAGCUCAAACCCUAUAUAUACGCAUCAUGUUCAUCGAUUUCCAUGUACAAAAACCAGAUCGAGGAAAUAGCUGUUGUAGAGUACCCACUAUAAAAGGAGAGAGAAGAGGGUAUUCAGAUUGUAGAUUACUAGAUUGUAGUGUCACUCGCUCACCAGAGUCUAAUAGAGAAUAGUGCACAACAGUGGAGUGAAGUGACUGGCACAUAGAGAGACUUAAAAGAAGUAACGGGAACCCCACUUUUCCAUCUUCACUUUCCUGUUUUUUUACCCUUUAUUCACUGUACUUACACAGUACAACGUUUAUGUCGGUUUGUGUGAGUGUGUGAUAAGGGUCUUUCUUUUGGUUCAGAGAGAGAAAGAGGAAUGAGAGAAGGAGAAACGUGAUGAGAAACGAAUAUCUCCCUUCUUGCUGGUUCUGGUUUUUCUAUCUCUGUGCUUUUACUGUUUUGCCAGAUUUGUGUGGAUGUGAGAUCUUCAAUCGUUUUCCCUUCUCUGACUCUCACGAAGACAUUGACUACUCUUCCUAUUCUCUCUCUCAUUCUGCUACUUCUUUAACACAGUUUCUCUUCCGUGAUUUCUGCUUCUUCUGACCCUUUGUUUUUUUUUUCUUUUUUCAAUUUUCUAGCUGUUUAUUUCUCCUGUCCAGUUAAAGUUAUAUGGAACUCAUUCUGUGUUCUAAGUCAUAUCUCUUCUCACCCUUUUCUUUGUCGAUUUGGUUCCUUUUCUCCUUUAGCAGUUGUGGCUCUGAUACUGUUCUUUGGUCGAAGCUUUUGUUUCUUUGGGUUCACCUUGCGGGAAGAACCGGAGAAGUAUUUAAGUGAAAGAUGCAGUUAGUUUGGUUGUUUCAUGUUGUUGCUUAACGAAAUCGACCCUUUGAUUUUUGUGCUUAUGAAUAUUACAUUACAUGCUCCUGUGUGAUUUGAUCAUACUAAUUACUACAUUAGAGUUUUUCUGCUGUGUCCGAUCAUGAUCUUUAUAUGCAGUGUCUUUAUCGGUGUAUCUAUUGUUCAUCUAUUUUUUGCAUGAUAUUCAAAGGGUUAGAAAAAGGACACUAUUCUAGUAUGAUGAAGGAAAAAUAUUUUUUGAGUACUUUGAGACUUUUAGGUCCUAGGGUUAGGGUUCUUGUAAAAGAAAUGUGUUUUAAUAUCUUGGAAGCCGAUUUCUCUGAAGUUGUGGAAUGAUGUCGGUUAACUCUACAUUCCUUGGCAGUCUGCAUGCUAGUUAAAGAUGAUUAUAAAUUUGUAAUCCUUAAUUAAUCAUUGUUAAGUCUUUGAGUGCUUGACAGAAAAUGGUUCCUUCUUUCUGAAAAAGUAUACCAGGUUUAGUCAUACCCAUGAAUACUACUUAAAGGUUGCCAUAGUAUUCAGAUUUUGUCACUAUCUGCAUCGUGUUUAUAGCGUUUGUCAAUAUGAAUUACAGUUUCUUCAAUCCUUUCAUUAUUGUUAGUGAUUUCCUUCUAUGCUUAGUAAUGAGCGCAUUCUAUUUCUGUCGUCAUAGUUUCAUCUAUGUUUGAUGAAUUUCAUCUGGAGUCAUAUACUACAUAUGUUGAUUUAUUAUACUUUAAUGCAGCAUUUUUGCUUGAUCUUGGAUUAAAUUAAUUGCCUGUGGAUUUCGUGAAUGAAAUGUUAUAUGAAGAUUCCCA
Molecule: small RNA, 1798 nt
Filed under: Vigna angularis var. angularis
Lineage: Eukaryota; Viridiplantae; Streptophyta; Magnoliopsida; Fabales; Fabaceae
Description: Non-protein coding transcript
Source: RNAcentral